ACGGGUGAGUAACACGUGGGUAACCUGCCCAUCAGAAGGGGAUAACACUUGGAAACAGGUGCUAAUACCGUAUAACACUAUUUUCCGCAUGGAAGAAAGUUGAAAGGCGCUUUUGCGUCACUGAUGGAUGGACCCGCGGUGCAUUAGCUAGUUGGUGAGGUAACGGCUCACCAAGGCCACGAUGCAUAGCCGACCUGAGAGGGUGAUCGGCCACACUGGGACUGAGACACGGCCCAGACUCCUACGGGAGGCAGCAGUAGGGAAUCUUCGGCAAUGGGCGAAAGUCUGACCGAGCAACGCCGCGUGAGUGAAGAAGGUUUUCGGAUCGUAAAACUCUGUUGUUAGAGAAGAACAAGGAUGAGAGUAAAAUGUUCAUCCCUUGACGGUAUCUAACCAGAAAGCCACGGCUAACUACGUGCCAGCAGCCGCGGUAAUACGUAGGUGGCAAGCGUUGUCCGGAUUUAUUGGGCGUAAAGCGAGCGCAGGCGGUUUCUUAAGUCUGAUGUGAAAGCCCCCGGCUCAACCGGGGAGGGUCAUUGGAAACUGGGAGACUUGAGUGCAGAAGAGGAGAGUGGAAUUCCAUGUGUAGCGGUGAAAUGCGUAGAUAUAUGGAGGAACACCAGUGGCGAAGGCGGCUCUCUGGUCUGUAACUGACGCUGAGGCUCGAAAGCGUGGGGAGCGAACAGGAUUAGAUACCCUGGUAGUCCACGCCGUAAACGAUGAGUGCUAAGUGUUGGAGGGUUUCCGCCCUUCAGUGCUGCAGCAAACG
RNAcentral lists this ribosomal RNA (769 nucleotides) under uncultured bacterium. Its description in RNAcentral is "bacterial SSU rRNA". It matches the Rfam family "Bacterial small subunit ribosomal RNA", at positions 102 to 857 of the family's 1533-position model. The record is from RNAcentral.